Cyprinus carpio carpio is the source of this 982-nucleotide long non-coding RNA. NCBI's taxonomy places the organism in Eukaryota, Metazoa, Chordata, Actinopteri, Cypriniformes, Cyprinidae. The record is from Ensembl.
GAUCUCAUAUUUUGUCACAACAGCAAAAGAGAAAUGUCCCUACACUAAAUAUGAGUGCUGGGAAUUCCCUGUGCAUACGUUGGAUCCCAUAUUAACAGAAGAAUUAAAGGAAUACUCCACCCCAAAAUGAAAAUUUUGUCCUUAAUCACUUACCCUCAUGUCGUUCCAAACCCGUAAAAGCUCAGUUCAUCUUCGGAACACAAUUUAAGAUAUUUUGGAUGAAAACCUGCAGGCUUGAGACUGUCCCAUAUACUGCCAAGUAAAUAACAGUGUCAAGGUCCAUAAAAGCAGGUGAAGCGUGUGUUGGGAUUCAGAGAGAAGAUUCCUAUGACUUUGAGCUGCCCAACGCUGUAGCGGUGAACGUGCAAGACCCUGCGUGUGAUGCGGAGUGGACCAUUGACCAAUUCACAGCAUUCCUGGAUGGAAAUUCAACUCACUGUCCUCAUCCCUUCAAAAAAGUGACUCGUCGGGGGAUCAGUGUGUCUUACUGUCCAGCUUCAGUCAAAUUCCACGUCUCUUGUCCAAUAUACACCAAAGUCCUCACAUGUUGUUGCACAAAUUCCACCAAAAAUCCAGUUUAUAACACAACCCUGCCAUCUGGAGAUAUGUCUUCCUCUGCCAUCAAAACUGAUUCAUCAGUGAGGAUACACUAUUGUGCCAUUGCUGUUGCUGUCACGUUUGCCUUAACCCUCGUCAUCUUGGCUUUCCUCAUCUGCAGGACAAACAGCAGUGCAAAAUAUGCUCCUACAAGAGCCUCAGCUGAUGGACAAAACCAGCCUUGUUCAGUAUAAUUAUCCUAAGGAGGCAUCUGAACUUGCACUAGAAACACAUGGCGUGGAGUCAUGACAACACAUUAUCCGAUAAUGUAACAUGUAUUAUAUUAUAUUAUAUUAUAUUAUAUUAUAUUAUAUUAUAUUAUAUUAUAUUAUAUUAGAGAAAACAUAAGCACUAAAUGAAACAGUAAAAUAUCUGAAUUUUACUA